Molecule: ribosomal RNA, 579 nt
Filed under: Sporisorium pseudechinolaenae
Lineage: Eukaryota; Fungi; Basidiomycota; Ustilaginomycetes; Ustilaginales; Ustilaginaceae
Description: LSU rRNA
Rfam family: Eukaryotic large subunit ribosomal RNA
Source: RNAcentral
AGGGAAGAGCCCAAGAUUGAAAGCUGGCGUCUUCGGCGUCCGCAUUGUAAUCUCAAGAAGCGUUUUCCGCUUCGGACCAUGCCUAAGUCCCUUGGAAAAGGGCAUCAUAGAGGGUGAUAAUCCCGUACAUGGCAUGGAGCGCCCGAAGCUUUGUGAUACGUUUUCUAAGAGUCGAGUUGUUUGGGAAUGCAGCUCAAAAUGGGUGGUAAAUGCCAUCUAAGGCUAAAUAUUGGGGAGAGACCGAUAGCGAACAAGUACAGUGAUGGAAAGAUGAAAAGAACUUUGAAAAGAGAGUUAAACAGUACGUGAAAUUGCCAAAAGGGAAGGGUAGGAGGUCAGAGAUGCGUCUUGGAAUUCAGCCUUGCUUUUGCUUGGUGUUUUUUCCAAGUUUGCAGGCCAACGUCGGUUUUGGGCACUGGAGAAGGGUGGAAGGAACGUGGCACCCCUCGGGGUGUGUUAUAGCCUUCUACUGGAUACAGCGACCGAGACCGAGGACAGCAGCGUACUCGCAAGAGCGGGCCCUCGGGCACCUUUACGCUUAGGGCGUUGGCAUAAUGGCCCUCUACCACCCGUCUUGAA